GUGUGCUUAAGAUGCAAGUCGAACGAGCCUUCGGGCUAGUGGCGGACGGGUGAGUAACGCGUGGGAAUCUGCCCUCAGGAGGGGGAUAACGGCCGGAAACGGCCGCUAAUACCCCAUAUGCCGAGAGGUGAAAUGAAUUUCGCCUGAGGAUGAGCCCGCGUCUGAUUAGCUAGUUGGUGGGGUAAUGGCCCACCAAGGCGACGAUCAGUAGCUGGUCUGAGAGGAUGAUCAGCCACACUGGGACUGAGACACGGCCCAGACUCCUACGGGAGGCAGCAGUGGGGAAUUUUCCGCAAUGGGCGAAAGCCUGACGGAGCAACGCCGCGUGAGGGAUGAAGGCCUCUGGGCUGUAAACCUCUUUUCUCAAGGAAGAAGACAUGACGGUACUUGAGGAAUAAGCCACGGCUAAUUCCGUGCCAGCAGCCGCGGUAAUACGGGAGUGGCAAGCGUUAUCCGGAAUUAUUGGGCGUAAAGCGUCCGCAGGCGGCCUUGUAAGUCUGUCGUUAAAGCGUGGAGCUUAACUCCAUUUCAGCGAUGGAAACUACAAGGCUUGAGUGUGGUAGGGGCAGAGGGAAUUCCCGGUGUAGCGGUGAAAUGCGUAGAUAUCGGGAAGAACACCAGUGGCGAAGGCGCUCUGCUGGGCCAUAACUGACGCUCAUGGACGAAAGCCAGGGGAGCGAAAGGGAUUAGAUACCCCUGUAGUCCUGGCCGUAAACGAUGAACACUAGGUGUCGGGGGAAUCGACCCCCUCGGUGUCGUAGCUAACGCGUUUAAGUGUUCCGCCUGGGGAGUACGCACGCAAGUGUGAAACUCAAAGGCAAUUGACGGGGGCCCGCACAAGCGGUGGAGUAUGUGGUUUAAUUCGAUGCAACGCGAAGAACCUUACCAGGGUUUGACAUCCUGCGAAUCCCUUGGAAACGAGGGAGUGCCUUCGGGAGCGCAGAGACAGGUGGUGCAUGGCUGUCGUCAGCUCGUGUCGUGAGAUGUUGGGUUAAGUCCCGCAACGAGCGCAACCCACGUCUUUAGUUGCCAGCAUUCAGUUGGGCACUCUAGAGAGACCGCCGGUGAUAAACCGGAGGAAGGUGUGGAUGACGUCAAGUCAUCAUGCCCCUUACAUCCUGGGCUACACACGUACUACAAUGCUACGGACAAAGGGUUGCAAGCUCGCGAGAGUUAGCUAAUCCCAUAAACCGUGGCUCAGUUCAGAUCGUAGGCUGCAACUCGCCUACGUGAAGGAGGAAUCGCUAGUAAUCGCAGGUCAGCAUACUGCGGUGAAUACGUUCCCGGGCCUUGUACACACCGCCCGUCACACCAUGGAAGUUGGCCAUGCCCGAAGUCGUUACUCCAACCCUUGUGGAGGAGGACGCCGAAGGUGGGGCUGAUGACUGGGGUGAAGUCGUAACAAGGUAGCCGUACCGGAAGGUGCGGCUGGAUCACCUCCU
This 1442-nucleotide ribosomal RNA is filed under the name Synechococcus sp. MA0607M. RNAcentral describes it as "16S ribosomal RNA". It matches the Rfam family "Bacterial small subunit ribosomal RNA". Lineage: Bacteria; Bacillati; Cyanobacteriota; Cyanophyceae; Synechococcales; Synechococcaceae. The record is from RNAcentral.